UCAGAGGAAAUCUGUUCAUCUACCCCUUACAAAGGAGACUUUUUCAACUUGGUUGCAGUGGUAGAUCCUAUUCCACUGGAAAGGCCAACACUAAUUAGGAAUGAGAAUUUUUAUGAGAUAACCAUCACUCUGUCCUCAGUAUAUACCUAUAUUUCAGAAUGACUAGACAUACAUUGAGGAUACCAUUUGAAAAAAGAUUUUCUUCACAUUAUGGAUGCUGGGGCAACAGGAAAGUUUUAGAGCUGCAGGAAACCAAACCCAUUUAGCUAAAAGUACUGCAAAUGUCUUUUUUUUUUAAGUUGAUGAAAAUCAAAGAAGCUUUACGAGUAGAAUCUUGGAAAAAAAAUCUGCUGUUUUCAAAGUAACACAUCAUAAAAGCAACCGAUAAAUAUGUGGCUAUUUUCAAGCAUACCUGGAAUAGUGGGCAUGAUUGAUGCAACACAUAUUGUCCCACACCAUAACGCAAAUGACGAUUAUUAUAGAACUAAUGUUCACUCUAUUAUUCUACAGGCAGUGUGAAAAAAGAAAAUGUAUGGAUAUCAUUGUUAGUACCCUUGCCAGAGUACAUGGCGCAAGAGUUUUUAAAAUUAGCCCUGUCAGUCAGCAUUUAAUAGGUGAUAAUGCUUAUCCACUUUGUUUAUUUCUCUUAAAACCAUAUACAGAUAGUGGAUGUGUGACACCUCAGCAAGUAUGAUUUAAUACAUUGCCUAGUUCUAUACGUGUUUUAAUUCAACAAUGUUUUGGAUUAUAAGAAAAAUUUAGAAGGUUGAAAUAUUUAGAAAUGAGCAGGGCUGACAAAAUUCUAUUAGUUAUAACUGCAGCAUGUGUGUUACAUAACCUAAUUAUACCUUAUGAAAACUCUGAUCCGCAAGAAAUAGAAUGUAUAGCUAGAUAAUAAAGAAUUGAAUUUAAGGACAGAUGGAAAGAGACUACAUAGCAAAUGUAUUAUGAGUUGAC
Molecule: long non-coding RNA, 957 nt
Organism: Cylas formicarius (sweet potato weevil)
Lineage: Eukaryota; Metazoa; Arthropoda; Insecta; Coleoptera; Brentidae
Exons: 3
Source: RefSeq, a predicted model, not a curated record